RNAcentral lists this ribosomal RNA (645 nucleotides) under Entolomataceae sp. JCM 28419. RNAcentral describes it as "eukaryotic LSU rRNA". It matches the Rfam family "Eukaryotic large subunit ribosomal RNA", at positions 38 to 667 of the family's 3401-position model. Lineage: Eukaryota; Fungi; Basidiomycota; Agaricomycetes; Agaricales; Entolomataceae. The record is from RNAcentral.
GCAUAUCAAUAAGCGGAGGAAAAGAAACUAACAAGGAUUCCCCUAGUAACUGCGAGUGAAGCGGGAAAAGCUCAAAUUUAAAAUCUGGUAGUCUCUGGCUGCCCGAGUUGUAAUCUAGAGAAGCGUUAUCCGUGCUGGACCGUGUAUAAGUCUCCUGGAAUGGAGCGUCAUAGAGGGUGAGAAUCCCGUCUUUGACACGGACUACCAGUGCAUUGUGAUGCGCUCUCAAAGAGUCGAGUUGUUUGGGAAUGCAGCUCUAAAUGGGUGGUAAAUUCCAUCUAAAGCUAAAUAUUGGCGAGAGACCGAUAGCGAACAAGUACCGUGAGGGAAAGAUGAAAAGAACUUUGGAAAGAGAGUUAAACAGUACGUGAAAUUGUUGAAAGGGAAACGCUUGAAGUCAGUCGCGUUAGCUUGGAAUCAGCCUUGCUUUUGCUUGGUGUACUUCCUUGUUGACGGGUCAGCAUCAAUUUUGACCGGUGGAGAAAGGCCAGUUGAAUGUGGCAUCUUCGGAUGUGUUAUAGCUUCUGGUCGUAUACAUCGGUUGGGAUUGAGGAACUCAGCACGCCGCAAGGUCGGGGUUCGCCCACGUUCGUGCUUAGGAUGCUGGCAUAAUGGCUUUAAUCGACCCGUCUUGAAACACGGACC